AUUGAACGCUGGCGGCAUGCUUUACACAUGCAAGUCGAACGGUAACAGGCCUUCGGGUGCUGACGAGUGGCGAACGGGUGAGUAAUGCAUCGGAACGUACCCAGAGGUGGGGGAUAACGCAGCGAAAGCUGUGCUAAUACCGCAUGUGAUCUGAGGAUGAAAGCGGGGGACCGAGCAGCAAUGUUUGGCCUCGCGCCUUUGGAGCGGCCGAUGUCGGAUUAGCUAGUUGGUGGGGUAAAGGCCUACCAAGGCGACGAUCCGUAGCUGGUCUGAGAGGACGACCAGCCACACUGGGACUGAGACACGGCCCAGACUCCUACGGGAGGCAGCAGUGGGGAAUUUUGGACAAUGGGCGCAAGCCUGAUCCAGCAAUGCCGCGUGCGGGAAGAAGGCCUUCGGGUUGGAAACCGCUUUUGGCAGGAACGAAACGGUGUCCGCUAAUACCGGGCGCUAAUGACGGUACCUGCAGAAUAAGCACCGGCUAACUACGUG
This 492-nucleotide ribosomal RNA is filed under the name uncultured bacterium. RNAcentral describes it as "partial 16S ribosomal RNA". It matches the Rfam family "Bacterial small subunit ribosomal RNA", at positions 29 to 507 of the family's 1533-position model. The record is from RNAcentral.